This 253-nucleotide ribosomal RNA is filed under the name uncultured bacterium. RNAcentral's name for it is "partial 16S ribosomal RNA". It matches the Rfam family "Bacterial small subunit ribosomal RNA", at positions 524 to 776 of the family's 1533-position model. The record is from RNAcentral.
UACGUAGGUGGCGAGCGUUGUCCGGAUUUACUGGGCGUAAAGAGCGCGCAGGCGGUCGUUCAAGUCGCGUGUGAAAGCCCCCGGCUCAACUGGGGAGGGUCACGCGAUACUGAUCGACUCGAAGGCAGGAGAGGGUAGUGGAAUUCCCGGUGUAGUGGUGAAAUGCGUAGAUAUCGGGAGGAACACCAGUGGCGAAGGCGACUACCUGGCCUGUUCUUGACGCUGAGGCGCGAAAGCUAGGGGAGCAAUCCGG